AAAUGUCCGUAAAGUAUCAUCACAUGAUUGGUUUUAGGGCACAUUUCCAACAAAUUUCCUUUUAUUUAUUGAGAUUUUAACUCACGUUUCGGAUUUGGAUUUGAGUUUCUAUUACCGAUCCCGGGUUCAGGGUGUGACACAAGUAAAUGUCUUUUUGGUGAUCGAAGCGAUCGACUAGAAAUGAGCCAUUGGGCACGUGGAUCCUCUUCUGUGAGGUACUCGAUUUACAACGCAUCAUGAAUGUGUCUUCAAAUGAAGGUAGCUUUCUGAGCUUCGUCAACCGGGACAUCCAUAGCCUCUUCAAUGGCGGCUCGUAAACUUUUAGCAGUGAGAUGGAGCUUCACAUCAUGGACCCACUUAGUUUUUUUUCCAAAUACUUCCAAACUAGUAAAUUCAAGCUUGUUUAAGUUUGAAAUGUCCCUAAAACAGAGGGUACAAAAAGAAUGUGGUUAGUCAUAUGGAAAGCAUAGACAUACAGUUUUGAACAUUUGGGUUCUAUAAACAUGUAUAGGUUUAAUUUAAACAUGAAAGCCUUGGGUUUCGUGGUGUAAAUUUUGAAUGAAAACUUCGUGUUUCAAAGGAACUAAAUUCGAAGCUACACGUUCGAUUUAGUUAUAAACUUCUGAUUCAUAAGCACCUACAAAAAUACAGAAUAUACAACCAAGUGUAGUGAAUUUGGGGCUUGCUUUAGUAACCUAAGUGUGAGUGUAUCGUGACUACGAAAGAUAGUCAAUGAUUCAAAGAAAAGAAUAAUUUAUUGAAUCGUUAAUUGCCAAAAAGUGGGCUUCACACCAAUAAUUUUGGAUGUCUUGUCAGAUUAGUUGACUGCUGGUCACUUUAAUUAAUUCAAUAGAUCGUAACCAUCUAGGUUUGAUCGUUAGAGCAAAAUAAUGACAUUCGGGUCAUAUUAGCUUGAAUUUUGGCUCCAGGUCAAGUGACAACAAAAUUAUAGCUUGAUAAGCGUUAACCAAUAACGUCACAAUAAUUAUAUGGGUAUGGUUAUGAAACAGGGAUGCAAAUUAUGGCAUCGGGUAGAAAAAAGACGCAACCCAGCUCGGUUGGGCUGGCUAUAUUGCACAAGUAGGGCUCUGCAGCACGGUUGCAGGCCUAUUGGCUCAUGGGGAGGGUUGGAGGCCAUUGGGCCUUGGGUUAGGAUAAAUCUAGCAGCAAGAGUUGUUGGAAUUUGGGCCAAAACUAGCACGGGGAAGCAGGCCCAGCACAAGUUGGCCUGGGUGGGUACGCAGCGAGCCUAACGUAAGCUAGCUUUGGGUUUUGGGCCAGAGCGUGGCAAGCCCAGUAGCACAGGGGAUGCUGGCAAGUGGGUUGGGGCACAAGGCAAACCUAGAAGUAAACGGGGCUUGAUGCAAGCGAGCUGUAACACUUGGGCAAGUCCAGCAAGCAAAAGGCUUGUUACAGGCAGGCCGGGGCUCAUAGGGACAAGCCCAAUAGCAAAAGGAUACUGGUUUUAGGUAGGGGCACAUGUGACAAAGCCCAUCAUUGUUGCAGGCUUGCUGGAGAUGGGUUGGGGGCUAU
This 1533-nucleotide long non-coding RNA is filed under the name Malus domestica (apple). Its description in RNAcentral is "long non-coding RNA (MDOM_LNC013542)". Lineage: Eukaryota; Viridiplantae; Streptophyta; Magnoliopsida; Rosales; Rosaceae. The record is from RNAcentral.